This is a long non-coding RNA of Diachasma alloeum, 733 nucleotides long. RefSeq lists it as uncharacterized. NCBI's taxonomy places the organism in Eukaryota, Metazoa, Arthropoda, Insecta, Hymenoptera, Braconidae. The transcript is spliced from 5 exons. The record is from RefSeq and is a predicted model, not a curated record.
AUGUCAUAGUGACACAUAUUUUCUCUGAGAUAAGUAUUUUCAAAGUGUAUAUUUGUUAAGUUUCUAAUGGACUUUUAUUAUUUUCAGCAUUAUUGAUUUUUCUGAGGUCAUGUUUUCGAGUGACAACAGGCUGUCAACGUAUACGAGAGGAGUAAAAUAGGAUAAUUAUUUGGACAUCAGAGUAACUGGCUACCUUGUGCGUAACUGUUAGAAUGCACUUGAGGCAUAGGAACAUUAGGACGAUAUGCCCUCAAGAAAUGUAUAAGAGUGAGGUAUAAUUCAGCUUAUUAAGGGUCUGUUCUGAGGCUUAGGAUGCUCAGGAUGGGCCAGAAAUAGUUAUUCUGCCAAAUAGUAAUUUAUUUUUGAGUUGGGAAGCAUGUCGAUGCUGUACCUGGACACUCUGGAUAGACCAGGAUAAGGAAACCUUGGGAAUGUGGUAAUUCCGUAAAUUCCUGUUUCUGGAGUUUAUGGGCUCUGAUAUGAGCAAAUAAAUAUCAUGCGUCAUGGAGCUGGUGUUCAGCAAGUAUCAGGUUAGGAGUUGUUCAACUCUGAAGGAUCAAGGAUGCAUGCUGGAAUUUAAAGGCAACAGUUUGAGAAUGGUGAAAUGUUUUUAUAAAAAUUAUCUAUGUUAUUUACUUUUGUGAAGUUUUUCAUCAUCAAUUAUAUUUUUAUCGAGAAAAUGUAAUGAGACUUAGCUUCAUACCAUAGAUUAAUAAAAUGUUAUUUAACUUUA